RNAcentral lists this transfer RNA (74 nucleotides) under Bacteroidota bacterium. RNAcentral's name for it is "tRNA-Met". It matches the Rfam family "tRNA". Rfam says of the family: Transfer RNA (tRNA) molecules are approximately 80 nucleotides in length. Their secondary structure includes four short double-helical elements and three loops (D, anti-codon, and T loops). RNAcentral also lists the same sequence under 3 other names. Lineage: Bacteria; Pseudomonadati; Bacteroidota. The record is from RNAcentral.
GGCGAGGUAGCUCAGCUGGUUAGAGCGCAUGAUUCAUAAUCAUGAGGCCGGCGGUUCAAGUCCGCCUCUCGCUA